CAAAGGUUUGGUCCUGACCUUGGAGUCAGUUAUUACUUAGUAUACACAUGCAAGUAUCCGCCCCCCUGUGAAAACGCCCUUUUAACCCUUAUAGGGACAAGGAGCUGGUAUCAGGCACGAUAAUCCGCCCAAGACACCUAGCUACGCCACACCCACAAGGGACCUCAGCAGUGAUUAACAUUGAGCAUUAGCGAAAGCUUGACUCAGUUAAAGUAAACAGAGCCGGCUAAUCUGGUGCCAGCCGCCGCGGUUACACCACGUGGCUCAAAUUGACCCCAUUCGGCGUAAAGCGUGAUUAAAGUUAAACAUCACUAGAAUUAAACUAAAACUAAGCUGUGACACGCUUGUUUAUAAGAAAUACAAAAACGAAAGUUAUUCUAACACAAUCGACUUGAACUCACGACAGCUGGGAAACAAACUGGGAUUAGAUACCCCACUAUGCCCAGCCGUAAACUUUUACUUACAUUCAAUCGCCAGGGAACUACGAGCUAAGCUUAAAACCCAAAGGACUUGACGGUACCCCAUAUCCCCCUAGAGGAGCCUGUCCUAUAAUCGAUAACCCACGUUAAACCUCACCAUUUUUAGUUAAUCAGCCUGUAUACCUCCGUCGUCAGCUUACCACGUGAGCGUUAAUUAGUGAGCCUAAUGUUUUUCACCAAUACGUCAGG
RNAcentral lists this ribosomal RNA (668 nucleotides) under Duttaphrynus melanostictus (Asian common toad). Its description in RNAcentral is "partial 12S ribosomal RNA". It matches the Rfam family "Bacterial small subunit ribosomal RNA", at positions 7 to 1189 of the family's 1533-position model. Lineage: Eukaryota; Metazoa; Chordata; Amphibia; Anura; Bufonidae. The record is from RNAcentral.